UGAAUACGAGAUGCUACGGCGUCGAAGCAGUGUAUGUCAGACUUCCAAGAAAAGCUCGCAAUGUCAUAAAUAAAGAAUGCCUGUACCAUAACCGACACAGGUGGGUAGGUAGAGUAUACUAAGGGGCGCGAGAUAACUCUCUCUAAGGAACUCGGCAAAAUAACUCCGUAACUUCGGGAGAAGGAGUGCCUUCUUUAAGAAGGUUGCAAUAACAAGAUCCAAGCAACUGUUUAUCAAAAACACAGGUCUCCGCUAAGUCGUAAGACGAUGUAUGGGGGCUGACGCCUGCCCAGUGCCAGAAGGUUAAAGAAGUUGGUUAGCUUUUGCGUAGCUGAUGACUGAAGCCCGGGUGAACGGCGGCCGUAACAAUAACGGUCCUAAGGUAGCGAAAUUCCUUGUCGGGUAAGUUCCGACCCGCACGAAAGGCGUAAUGAUUUGGAUACUGUCUCGGAGAGGGACUCGGUGAAAUAGACUUGUCUGUGAAGAUGCGGACUACCUGCACCAGGACAGAAAGACCCUAUGAAGCUUUACUGUAACUUGAAAUCGAAAUUGGACUUUAUUUGCGCAGUAUAGGUGGAAGGCGUUGAAAGUAAUCUUGCGGGAUUAGUGGAGCCAUCAGUGAGAUACCACUCCUAUAAUGUUAGAUUUCUAACUUUGGAUCAUGAUCUGGUCAAAGAACAGUUUCAGGCGGGCAGUUUGACUGGGGCGGUCGCCUCCCAAAUGGUAACGGAGGCGUACAAAGGUUUCCUCUGAACGGGUAGAAAUCGUAUCUAGAGUGUAAAGGCAUAAGGAAGCUUGACUGUGAGACCUACAAGUCGAGCAGGGACGAAAGUCGGUCUUAGUGAUCUGACGGUGCUGAGUGGAAAGGCCGUCACUCAACGGAUAAAAGUUACUCUAGGAUAACAGGCUGAUCUCCCCCAAGAGUUCACAUCGACGGGGAGGUUUGGCACCUCGAUGUCGGCUCAUCGCAUCCUGGGGCGGUAGUACGUCCCAAGGGUUGGGCUGUUCGCCCAUGAAAGCGGUACGCGAGCUGGGUUCAGAACGUCGUGAGACAGUUCGGUCCAUAUCCGGUGUAGGCGUUAGAAUAUUGAGAGGAGCCUUCUUUAGUACGAGAGGACCGAGAAGGACAUACCUCUGGUGUACCAGUUAUCGUGCCAACGGUAAACGCUGGGUAGCUAUGUAUGGAGAGGAUAACCGCUGAAAGCAUCUAAGUGGGAAGCCCACCUCAAGAUGAGUAUUCUCAC
This 1244-nucleotide ribosomal RNA is filed under the name metagenome. Its description in RNAcentral is "bacterial LSU rRNA". It matches the Rfam family "Bacterial large subunit ribosomal RNA", at positions 1564 to 2817 of the family's 2925-position model. The record is from RNAcentral.